AAAAAACCUCUAUUUCAGAGGUUAGACUCGCUGUAAUUAGCUCCUACUAGUAAGAAGCUGUUCCCAAACCAAGUUCUUUAGAUCCAUGUGUUUCUAGCAGGGGCUAAAUGGAUCGAGGAAUAAAAUAUAUAUAUUUAUACUGUAUGGAGGGAUCUGUAAAGCUCAGGAGGGAUAGCACCAUGAAAAAUGAUGUGAUAUAUGUUGGUUUUAAAUUUUUGAAUCUUUUUUUUUCCCAACAAAACUUUCAAUUAUUUUGGCGCUAUCCAUCCUGAGUUCUAUGGCUUCUUCUUACUUUUUGCUAUCUCCUCUUCACAAAUUUCACUCACACAAUUUUCAGGUAAUUAAUUACUUUCUCUACUGAAUUCUUUCUUAUCAUAUACAAGUUAAAUCUUUUAAUUUAAUUAAGCAUAAUUUUCCAUUUUAGCAGUCUCACUUGACUUGCUUACAUAAUCAUAACCAUUUUGACAAAUCAAUUCAUCUUCUGCAUUCUGGACAAUAUCAUGAUAUAUAUUCAUGCCAUGUACACUUUCUUUUGAUCCUUUACUUAUACUAGUCCUUACAUCAACCAGUGUGUCAUUAGGUGUAGUCAGUAACGUAGCUACAUACAUUGAAGGGUAGUCAACUGAACAUACUUCAUCGAAAAAUAAUAUUGUAUAUAUAAAUAUUUAUACUGUAUAUAUAGGUAAAAUAUUAUUAAGUUUCUUAAGUCGAAUCUUUUAAUUAUUGAAGAAUUGAAAACUAUAUUUUUCCAAACAAAAAGAAUUCUUUUGAAGAAUAGGAAUCCCAAUAACCAUUCUUUGAAGUUGAUUUAAAGAAAUAUUAAUUUGUUUGGUGACGUGAGGCUCUAGUUUAAAACUUUGAAACUAUAUCAAAUUAAAAAAAUCUUUGAAAGUGGAACACGAGGAUUUCUAUGUGUUCCAUAGUUUUUCUCGGUGUAGUAACUAUGUUAGUUGUAGUAAUACAUAUGAGCAAUUUUAAACACCCUUUUGAGCUCUAAUUAAAGAUUAUUUUCAAAUAAUUUUUAAUCAGAUGUUUUGGGUUCAGAUCUCAUAGAAAGCACUUCUUUUGAUGAAUCACGCUAUGUGAGUAUGAAUUAGUUAAUAGUUAGGUCAUUGUCUCAGUCAUUUUUCUUUGUUAGGUUUCACCACAAAUGAGUGCAAUCAGACGGAUGAAAUUUCUUUACUAAUUAUAAUCAGAUAUCUCGGAUUCAGAUCUUACAAGAAGCACUUCUUUUAGUGAAUCCUACGCGGUGUGGAUAAUGAAUUAGUUAGGUCAAUGAGUUUAUCAAAUAUCAGGUAAAGGGUAGCCCGGUGCACUAAACUCUUGCUAUGCACAAAGUUCGAAAAAAGAACGAAUCACAAGAGUCUAUUGUACGUAGCUUUAUCCUGCAUAUAUGCAAGAGCAUGUUUCAAAUAUCAGAUGCAUACAGAAAAAAAAUUUGUUAGGUUUGAAUAACUUUUUUCAUUUUUUUUCUUCUUUUUCCCAGUUAGGUUUCAAUGAUAUAGUUCCCCUUUGAAGCCUAAGAAUAAGGCUUUUUCCGUGUCUAUCUGAUAACCUCUUAAAUGCUUCUCCUUACAGUACUCUGAGACUAUGAGAGGUCAUGCAAUAUUACUCAUGUAUAUUAAUAUAUGCAGAAGAAUAAAAAGGAAGUAGUUGUGACUAGGGUUUUGCCAUA
This 1675-nucleotide long non-coding RNA is filed under the name Nicotiana tabacum (common tobacco). Its description in RNAcentral is "long non-coding RNA (NTAB_LNC014507)". The stretch from base 145 to 290 matches the Rfam family "MIR390 microRNA precursor family". Lineage: Eukaryota; Viridiplantae; Streptophyta; Magnoliopsida; Solanales; Solanaceae. The record is from RNAcentral.